Molecule: RNA transcript, 2736 nt
Organism: Trichechus manatus latirostris (Florida manatee)
Lineage: Eukaryota; Metazoa; Chordata; Mammalia; Sirenia; Trichechidae
Gene: PGBD2
Gene name: piggyBac transposable element derived 2
Exons: 3
Source: RefSeq, a predicted model, not a curated record
UGGGUGGACGCAAACCACCAACCUUUCUUUUAGCAGCCAAGCGUGUUAACCAUUUGUACCACCCAGGGACUCCUUAAGAAGAAAUGGAAGUAUAUAAUACCUCUUUACAAUGACUCCAUCAUUGAAAUAUUCCCACACUUAAAAGACUAAUCUGUGUUUAUCUGGAAAAUUCCUUUACCUGGUACGUGUGCCCAGUGAUGCAAGGUCUGGGAUGCUGCUCAAGCUAAGAUGCUUUGCAACGAGCAUACCCUCCUCACUGGCUAGUACUUGAGAGCUUUUUUUUUUCCUGAGGAAUUGGCUUCUCUGCGUGGUGCAGAGAUGGCUGCCUUUGCCUCUUAUCCUGUUUCCUGUUGUUGCAGAUGUGCUGUUGCUGGGAGAGGUGUCCGCUCGAAGGUGAAGUCUGCUAAGCUGCUCGAGGUUCUGAACGCUCUGGAGAAGGAAGAGUUCAGCAACGACAGGGAAGAGAUUUUCAUCUCACCACCUGAGAAUGCUGCAGGGGACUUCACUGACGAGGACUCAGGUGAUGAAGACAGCCGGCGUGGUGCUCACCUGCCGGGGAGCAUGCUGCAUGCCACUGUCGUGUCUGAGGACUCUGGUACUGGGGAAGAUAAUGAUGACCUGGAGCUGCAGCCAGCAAAGAAGAGGCAGAAAACCAUAGUCGAACCUCAGCGGGUUUGGACCAAAAGAGAUCUCCGACCUGACUUUGGCAGUUGGACAGCAUCAGAUCCUCAUAUUGAGUAUCUCAAAAGUCAGGAACUGAGUCCUGUAGGCCUCUUUGAAUUAUUUUUUGAUGAAGGAACAAUUAAUUUCAUUGUUAAUGAAACCAAUCGUUAUGCUCGGCAAAAAAAUGUCAACCUAGGUCUCACAGCCCAGGAAUUGAAGUGUGUUUUGGGCAUUUUGAUUUUAAGUGGGUAUAUCUCCUAUCCAAGGAGAAGGAUGUUUUGGGAAACAUCUCCUGAUUCACAUCACCACCUUGUGGCUGAUGCAAUCAGAAGGGACAGAUUUGAACUGAUUUUCUCAUACUUGCAUUUUUCAGAUAACAAUGAACUCAAUGAAAGUGAUAGAUUUGCCAAGGUCAGGCCUCUCAUUAUCCGAAUGAACUGCAAUUUCCAGAAGCACGCGCCCUUAGAAGAGUUUUACAGCUUCGGUGAGUCCACAUGUGAGUACUUUGGGCACCGAGGAUCCAAGCAGCUGCACACAGGAAAGCCCAUCCGACUUGGUUACAAGAUCUGGUGUGGGACAACCAGCAGAGGCUAUUUGGUGUGGUUUGAGCCCUCGCAGGGCACAUUGUUCACCAAGCCAGACAAAGGUUUGGAUUUAGGAGGUAGCAUGGUGAUAAAAUUUGUGGAUGCACUUCAGGAGCGAGGCUGUCUGCCAUACCACAUAUUUUUUGACAAGGUUUUUACAAGUGUCAAACUGAUGUCCAUUUUGAGGAAAAAGGGGGUGAAGGCCACAGGAACUAUCCGUGAGUACAGGACCGAGAGAUGUCCCCUCAAAGAUCCCAGAGAACUGAAAAAGAUGAAGAGGGGUUCAUUUGAUUACAAGGUUGAUGAGAGUGAGGAGAUCAUUGUGUGCCGCUGGCAUGACAGCAACGUGGUCAACAUCUGCUCCAAUGCAGUGGGCAUAGAGCCUGUGAGGCUCACAAGUCGUUAUUUGGGGGCUGCCAAGACACGGACCCAGGUCCACCAGCCAUCGCUGGUGAGGCUGUACCAGGAGAAAGUGAGGGGUGUUGGGCGCAUGGACCAGAAUAUCGCCAAGUACAAGGUGAAGAUCCGGGGCAUGAAGUGGUACUCGAGCUUCAUUGGCUACGUCAUUGAUGCUGCUCUCAACAAUGCAUGGCAGCUGCACAGAAUCUGCUGUGAAGAUGCCCAGGUGGACCUCCUUGCCUUCCGGAGAUACGUUGCCUGUGUGUAUCUGGAGAGCAAUGCUGACACAUCCUCCCAAGGAAGGCGGAGCAGGCGGCUAGAAACUGAGAGCCGCUUUGAUAUGAUUGGCCAUUGGAUCAUCCACCAGGACAAGAGGACCCGGUGUGCCCUCUGCCACUCUCAGACCAACACCCGGUGUGAGAAGUGCCAGAAGGGCGUCCAUGCCAAGUGCUUUCGGGAGUACCACAUCAGAUGAACUUCCAGUUUUGCAUACAUCUAGUUUUGGAGUAAAACUUAAGUGCCCAUCAACAGAUGAAUGGAUAAACAAACUAUGGUAAAUACGCAGAAUGGAAUACUAUGCAACAGUAAAGAACAAUGGGGGAAGAAAAAAAGACAACUGCUGCUUUUGACCAAUAUUCAAAUAUCAAACACCUACUGAGCAUUCAUUGCAUUGUUGGGGAGAAAAUAUUUCUUUUUCACAAAAAAUGGUGAGUUGAUUUGACAAUUGGAAGCUAAUCUAAGCUUCUUUUUUUUCUUUAAUUAAAAAAAUACACUCAAUCAUACCAUCUUCUCAGUCUUGUCUAUUGAGCAUUUUUAAGUACCUUCUCUUUUCCUCAAUCCUGAAAUCAUUGCCUUACUCCAGGUCUUCAUCCUUUCUUUCCUAGACUCUUUUCUAGCAAAGUAUUCCAACUGAAUCAAAACAGAGUUUGGAAUCUGACAUUAUCAGUUAGAGUUCUUAAGUGAAAGCACAGAGAUAAGUUCAGCCCAAUUCAAUCAGAAUAUUAUUAUAUGAAAAUAGAAUCUCUAGAAAUGUAGGUGAUUCAGGUUUAAAGAUCAUUAGCAAAGCUCAAUAUGUGCCUGAGAAUGAGUC